RNAcentral lists this long non-coding RNA (974 nucleotides) under Castor canadensis (American beaver). RNAcentral's name for it is "lncRNA (ENSCCNG00000010336.1)". Lineage: Eukaryota; Metazoa; Chordata; Mammalia; Rodentia; Castoridae. The record is from RNAcentral.
UUCCGCUCCUCUGCGCUCCCUUCCGUCCCUCCUCCCGCUGCCCCCCUCCAUAGGUCCCAAUGUAGUCGCCCGUAGCGACGGCCUCCACGCUAGGCCGGUCCUGCGCGCCCGAGCCCGUGCCCUCCUUGUCCUCAUGUCCAGGUCCCCCACUUCAAACCCAGUGCGACCCUCUUGUCAGUGCCCGGAUCAUGCGCACACUAGGCCCCGGAGAAGCCGCCCAGCACCGCCCAUUCUUUGGCCCAGUGCUUCGUCUCUCCUGCCUCAGUUUCCCCAUCUGUAACGGCGUGAUCGUGGCGCCCCAGAUCAGGGCCUGGGGCUGGGAAGGCUCAGGUGGUCCAUGCGGGGUCGGUUCCCCACCAAGCGGGAAGACCGGAAAGGGUCGCGAUGCUGUCCCCAAGGCUGGCUGUGCCCUCCACCGGGCGACGUCAGCUUCCUCUUUGGCGCUCUGAAGAUUGUAUUUCCAUCUGGAUCGUGCGAAUGACAGUGUGCGGAGGGCCUGCUGGCUCUGGGCAGGUGCUCAGAAAAAUCACUGUUUUUAUUGUUGGGAAGAGUUCUCAUGAGCAAGCCCCACCUUGGGCCACCCUGAGCAGGUGACACUCCAGUCCAGUCAACUGGUGACUGCAGCAGCCCUUCAGGGACAGAGGCCCUGUCAUGUCCCAAACCCCAACUGGUAAUGAAAGGCAGAGGAUGAGAACCACACUAAUGAAGAUGAAGACCAUGCUGGCCACGCAGAAUGUCGUGGCACCCAGAGAUCCUCGAUGGGCUGUGGACACAACAAGGAGCCCAGAAGCGGACAAGAGAAGAGGCCGUCUCCAGCGUCCCAGCAGGGGACUGGGGACUUCUCCAUUCUUUCCCCUUUCCCCAGGACUGGGCCACUUCUGGGCGUGGCAGGGAUUCAAGUUUACCUCACUCUGAAAAUGUUAGGACUACAAAACUGGGCUGGGGCAUAGCUAAGUGCCAGAGCGUGCCUUAGU